GACGAACGCUGGCGGCGUGCUUAACACAUGCAAGUCGAACGGAAAGGCCCUGCUUUUGUGGGGUGCUCGAGUGGCGAACGGGUGAGUAACACGUGAGUAACCUGUCCUUGACUUUGGGAUAACUUCAGGAAACUGGGGCUAAUACCGGAUAGGAGCUCCUGCUGCAUGGUGGGGGUUGGAAAGUUUCGGCGGUUGGGGAUGGACUCGCGGCUUAUCAGCUUGUUGGUGGGGUAGUGGCUUACCAAGGCUUUGACGGGUAGCCGGCCUGAGAGGGUGACCGGCCACAUUGGGACUGAGAUACGGCCCAGACUCCUACGGGAGGCAGCAGUGGGGAAUAUUGCACAAUGGGCGGAAGCCUGAUGCAGCAACGCCGCGUGCGGGAUGACGGCCUUCGGGUUGUGAACCGCUUUCGCCUGUGACGAAGCGUGAGUGACGGUAAUGGGUAAAGAAGCACCGGCUAACUACGUG
This 468-nucleotide ribosomal RNA is filed under the name uncultured bacterium. RNAcentral's name for it is "partial 16S ribosomal RNA". It matches the Rfam family "Bacterial small subunit ribosomal RNA", at positions 28 to 507 of the family's 1533-position model. The record is from RNAcentral.